Molecule: long non-coding RNA, 775 nt
Organism: Lethenteron reissneri (Far Eastern brook lamprey)
Lineage: Eukaryota; Metazoa; Chordata; Hyperoartia; Petromyzontiformes; Petromyzontidae
Source: RefSeq, a predicted model, not a curated record
CGCGGCUCAACCGCCCGCCCACUGCGGAGGGAACGACGCGCACGCGGACGGACGCGCAGGAUGAGUGGACGCACGCACGGACACGCGGGUGUCAAGCCGCUGGGGCAGGAGUGACAGCAUUGGCACCGCGAAUGAUGAUGCCAUCGCUCAUUAGGCCAAAGACAGAGACGCAGGCAGAGCACGGAGCCCUCGCGAGACGCUGGACCGGGGCGGAUUUCCGCCGUGGCCGAGGCGACGCGCGAUGGCUCCGCUCCCUCGAGCACAAAUCGCGCUGUUCGUGUUUUCCAACACAAGCACACGUGUCCUGGAGGCCCAGCACAGGUUCAAGAUGCUACUCGCCACUGAUGUUGCCCAUGGCCGGGAGUCGAACUCUGCCACCCACCCCGCGAUCACCACCGAUCUCAACGCGGCUUGACAAAUCUCAUCCCCAAAAACCCUAACCAACCCACUGAUCAGCACACAUGAAAACACAGUAUUACAGGAGCAGCAACACCUAACUGAUCGACAACCAUCACAAUAUUAAAAUAUGAUCACAUCCCCCCCACACUCCCCCGUUACAGCUUCUCUCAUGCUCUGCCCAUCUUACACGGCGCCUCCACAGGCUAAUUUGCGUAACAAUGAGGAGCCGAGGCUAAUUAAUGCCGGUGAGGGCGAAGUGGUGGGGUGACGCUGUGACCCCGAGCCUCCUCUGUAUUUGUGCGCCCGUUAAAUUUAAAUUUCCAGUAGAAACAAAAAAAUACGAAUGUCAUAUUUUUGUUGUUGCACGGUUGUUGUU